RNAcentral lists this ribosomal RNA (1165 nucleotides) under uncultured bacterium. RNAcentral's name for it is "bacterial SSU rRNA". It matches the Rfam family "Bacterial small subunit ribosomal RNA", at positions 220 to 1387 of the family's 1533-position model. The record is from RNAcentral.
UAUAGAUGGACAUGCGUUGUAUUAGCUAGUUGGUGAGGUAACGGCUCACCAAGGCAACGAUACAUAGGGGGACUGAGAGGUUAACCCCCCACACUGGUACUGAGACACGGACCAGACUCCUACGGGAGGCAGCAGUGAGGAAUAUUGGUCAAUGGACGCAAGUCUGAACCAGCCAUGCCGCGUGCAGGAAGACGGCUCUAUGAGUUGUAAACUGCUUUUGUACGAGGGUAAACUCACCUACGUGUAGGUGACUGAAAGUAUCGUACGAAUAAGGAUCGGCUAACUCCGUGCCAGCAGCCGCGGUAAUACGGAGGAUUCAAGCGUUAUCCGGAUUUAUUGGGUUUAAAGGGUGCGUAGGCGGUUUGAUAAGUUAGAGGUGAAAUCCCGGGGCUUAACUCCGGAACUGCCUCUAAUACUGUUAGACUAGAGAGUAGUUGCGGUAGGCGGAAUGUAUGGUGUAGCGGUGAAAUGCUUAGAGAUCAUACAGAACACCGAUUGCGAAGGCAGCUUACCAAACUAUAUCUGACGUUGAGGCACGAAAGCGUGGGGAGCAAACAGGAUUAGAUACCCUGGUAGUCCACGCAGUAAACGAUGAAAACUCGUUGUCGGCGAUACACAGUCGGUGAGUAAGCGAAAGCGAUAAGUUAUCCACCUGGGGAGUACGUUCGCAAGAAUGAAACUCAAAGGAAUUGACGGGGGCCCGCACAAGCGGAGGAACAUGUGGUUUAAUUCGAUGAUACGCGAGGAACCUUACCCGGGCUUGAAAGUUACUGACGAUUCUGGAAACAGGAUUUCCCUUUGGGGCAGGAAACUAGGUGCUGCAUGGUUGUCGUCAGCUCGUGCCGUGAGGUGUCGGGUUAAGUCCCAUAACGAGCGCAACCCCUACCGUUAGUUGCCAUCAGGUCAAGCUGGGCACUCUGGCGGGACUGCCGGUGUAAGCCGAGAGGAAGGUGGGGAUGACGUCAAAUCAGCACGGCCCUUACGUCCGGGGCUACACACGUGUUACAAUGGUAGGUACAGAGGGUCGCUACUCCGUGAGGAGAUGCCAAUCUCGAAAGCCUAUCUCAGUUUGGAUUGGAGGUUGAAACCCGCCUCCAUGAAGUUGGAUUCGCUAGUAAUCGCGCAUCAGCCAUGGCGCGGUGAAUACGUUCCCGGGCCUUGCACA